GCUCGGGUGGUGGAACUGGUAGACACGCACGUUUGAGGGGCGUGUGCCUAGCGGCGUAUGGGUUCAAAUCCCAUUCCGAGCACCA
This 85-nucleotide transfer RNA is filed under the name Puniceicoccales bacterium. RNAcentral's name for it is "tRNA-Leu". It matches the Rfam family "tRNA". From Rfam's summary of the family: Transfer RNA (tRNA) molecules are approximately 80 nucleotides in length. Their secondary structure includes four short double-helical elements and three loops (D, anti-codon, and T loops). Further hydrogen bonds mediate the characteristic L-shaped molecular structure. tRNAs have two regions of fundamental functional importance: the anti-codon, which is responsible for specific mRNA codon recognition, and the 3' end, to which the tRNAs corresponding amino acid is attached (by aminoacyl-tRNA synthetases). tRNAs cope with the degeneracy of the genetic code in two manners: having more than one tRNA (with a specific anti-codon) for a particular amino acid; and 'wobble' base-pairing, i.e. permitting non-standard base-pairing at the 3rd anti-codon position. The record is from RNAcentral. Lineage: Bacteria; Pseudomonadati; Verrucomicrobiota; Opitutia; Puniceicoccales.